RNA transcript from Puntigrus tetrazona (Sumatra barb), 5873 nucleotides. It is a transcript of the gene named ubiquitin specific peptidase 20, with no coding region annotated. NCBI's taxonomy places the organism in Eukaryota, Metazoa, Chordata, Actinopteri, Cypriniformes, Cyprinidae. The transcript is spliced from 27 exons. The record is from RefSeq and is a predicted model, not a curated record.
CAACAACUCCCAAAUCAAACGGCACACACGCCGUGCUGGUCUGAGCAAAUUAAAAAUAUUUUUUGUUCAGAUGAAAGAACUCGAAGCUUUCAUUGGCUCUUGUCAAAGCGGUGACGCACGCUCGUGCUGUAUUCAGUAUGGAUGCUGCUUAGUGCACUUCUACCCACCACUGUUAAAAACACCACCGACCGGCCCAAAAUGAUCAUCUACGAGCGCUAUUUUUGUCUCUGUCUGACAGCCUGAGGUAAAAAAAAAAAUCAAGAUGACUGACAGCGGGGAUCUCUGUCCUCACUUGGACUCUAUUGGAGAAGUUACUAAGGAGGAACUGAUUCAGAAAUCAAAGGGCACAUGCCAGUCAUGUGGAGUAGGUGGACCCAAUCUCUGGGCCUGUCUACAGUGUGACUGUUCCUAUGUAGGCUGUGGAGAAUCGUAUUCCGAUCACAGCACCAUACAUGCACAGGCCAAAAAACACAACCUGACGGUAAACCUGACCACGUUCAGGGUGUGGUGUUAUGUCUGUGAGAGGGAGGUGUUUCUGGAACCGAAGCCUGUUGCUCCUGUAUCAUUAGCUCACCGCUGCAAACCACACGAACAGGAUCGUCUUCCCCAGACAGCAUGCCACCCGUUAAAAGCAGUGCCUAUUGCAGUGGCGGAUGAGGAAGGCUCAGAAUCUGAGGAGGAUGAACUCAAACCUAGAGGUCUCACCGGGAUGAAGAACAUUGGGAACUCCUGUUACAUGAACGCUGCGCUGCAGGCCCUCUCCAACUGUCCUCCUUUGACUCAGUUUUUCCUGGAUUGCACUGGUUUGGUCCGUACGGAUAAGAAGCCGGCGUUGUGUAAAAGCUAUCAGAAGCUUAUCUCUGAGCUCUGGCACAAGAAACGGCCAAGUUAUGUUGUGCCCACUAGUCUGUUUCAUGGAAUCAAACUGGUGAACCCCAUGUUUCGUGGCUACGCUCAACAGGACACUCAGGAGUUUUUGCGAUGUCUGAUGGACCAACUUCACGAGGAGCUGAAGGAGCCUUUGGCCGACUGCAGCGGUGCGAUCUCCGAUGUCGAGCCCGACCACAACCUUGACAGCCGUAGCCAUGUCGAUGGAGACCGAAGCCCUUCUGAGGAUGAGUUCCUGUCGUGUGACUCUGGAUCAGGAAGCGAGAGAGGAGACGCAGAGAGAGCGGGAGGAGAAGCAGAGCUGCUCAUCCAAGAUGAAUGUGUGGGAGUGAGAGGAAAUGGAGUAAUCUCGGAGAAAGAGAGACUGAAGGAGAGGAGAGGAGAAGAGAGGACACGGGAAUUGGAUGAGGAUGCAGAUGUGGACACGACUACACAAGAGGGACAGGCAGAGAGAGAAACCGAGACAACAACUACAACCACACAUACGCCGGCACCAGGAAAUACAGAACCCGAUAAUGAAGCCUCCAUGCAUUGUUCAUCGUCUCGUCCCUGCAGCCCUGCUCACAGCGUGCAGGAACUUCACUCCAGACUCUCCAGCAGCCCACCGAGAUCCAGCCCCCUCAGAGCUGGACCCACUUAUACUUUCAAGAAAGCUCAGAUGCUCCUGAGCACCAAGAAGAAGAAGCAGUCCCGUUUCCGCAGUGUUAUUUCAGAUAUUUUUGACGGAUCCAUUCUGAGUCUUGUUCAGUGUUUGACAUGUGACAGGGUUUCAACGACUGUGGAGACCUUUCAGGACCUCUCUUUGCCUAUUCCGGGUAAAGAGGAUUUGGUCAAACUCCAUUCCUCCAUCCACCAGAGCGCUCCUGUUAAAGCUGGUGUCUGCGCAGAAGGCUACGCCACCCAGGGCUGGAUCUCCUACAUCAUGGAUUCUAUACGAAGGUUUGUAGUGUCGUGUAUUCCCAGUUGGUUUUGGGGCCCGAUGGUAACGCUGGAGGACUGCCUGGCUGCCUUCUUUGCUGCUGAUGAGCUGAAAGGAGACAACAUGUACAGCUGUGAGAGAUGUAAAAAGUUGCGAAAUGGUGUGAAAUAUUGUAAAGUUCUGCGUCUGCCAGAAAUACUGUGCAUUCACCUGAAGCGUUUUAGGCAUGAAGUUAUGUACUCAUUCAAGAUAAACAGCCAUGUGUCGUUCCCAUUGGAGGGUUUGGAUCUUAAGCCCUUCUUGGCUAAGGAGAGCCCAUCUCAGAUUACUACCUACGAUCUACUGUCUGUCAUCUGUCAUCACGGCACAGCUGGGAGUGGUCAUUAUAUAGCGUACUGUCAGAAUGUGAUCAAUGGACAGUGGUACGAGUUUGACGAUCAGUAUGUAACAGAAGUUCAUGAGACGGUAGUGCAGAAUGCUGAAGCGUAUGUUCUCUUUUACAGGAAGAGCAGUGAAGAAUCCGUGAGAGAAAGACAGAAGGUUGUUGCUCUGGCUAAUUUAAAGGAGCCCAGUCUGCUGCAGUUCUACAUCUCCAGAGAGUGGCUCAACAAGUUCAACACAUUUACUGAGCCCGGACCCAUCACCAACCACACGUUCCUCUGUCAGCACGGAGGAAUCCCUCCUACCAAGUACCAUUACGUGGAUGAUCUGGUUGUGAUCCUUCCCCAAAAUGUGUGGGACUAUCUCUACAACAGGUUUGGGGGAGGCCCGGCCGUGAAUCACUUAUACGUGUGUGCCAUCUGCCAAGUGGAGAUCGAGACUUUGGCCAAAAGGCGGAAACUGGAAAUAGACACCUUCAUCAAGUUAAAUAAGGAGUUUCAAGCUGAAGAAGCGCCUAUGGUCAUCCUGUGUAUCAGCAUGCAGUGGUUUAGAGAAUGGGAGAACUUUGUCAAGGGCAAAGACAACGAGCCGCCAGGCCCCAUUGACAACAGCAAGAUUGCUGUAAUGAAAGGCGGACAUAUCCAGCUUAAACAAGGAGCAGACUAUGGGCAGAUAUCUGAAGAAACGUGGCAGUACUUGUUAAGUAUUUAUGGCGGUGGGCCAGAGAUUGCAGUGCGGCAAACAAUCAGCCCCCCGGACACUGACACGCAUGGUGAGAGGAAGAUAGAGGCAGAGACCAGAGCCCUCUGAAACGGAAAUGAAGACCCAUGUGUGGAUGACCUUUACACACUACGCUUGCAUUUCUCUCACUUCGUGAGCCUUUCUGUGGAUCUGCAAUUCCUGCCGGAGCUCUCCUAGUGUAGGAAAGGGCCUUAUUAAGUGAAUAAACCUGCUCUCAGAUGCACGCAUAAAACAUAUUUAACAUUCAUGAACAAGCUUCAUUCAUGUGCGCUGGUGAUAUGCUUGUUUCUGUUGUCAGCGGGACUAAGGGCAGUGACGUGAGACUUUCUCAGUAGCGCAGAGGUAAAUACAUAAUGCAACACGCAGGACACAUUCAAAUCUUUGUUAGAGCUCCUCGCUGACGUCUGCCUAGGCAAAAUAAGGUUGAUCUUAGUACCUGCAUGUUCAAAGAAGCUUUCCCUGUCACCCAACUCCACUAUAUCCCAAUAACUCGCACUACAAAUGUGACGAAAUCAAGCAUGUUGGUACUGAGUGAAUCAUAAUAUCGGCGAAGGCCUAAACCGUUUUACAUCAAAGUGAGUUCUGUUUAUGCCUCGACUCACUUCCUACCUCCGCGAUCCAUGAAAACAAUGUGCGCUCUGGCCGUCUUUUUGGGAGCUAUACUGUAAGAGGGAUAAGCUUUGAUAUCGCAGAUAUACGUCGGUGCGGACAGAGUUAUAAUUCAGGCUUUAAACAUCUAAAGUAGCAACAGGCUGUGAUGAUAUAAGCGACUUGCCUUUUCACGUCGAUAGUAAAAGAUUUCUUUAAUCUAGGACUGUUUAGUCAAUGCUACUGAAAUCUGACUGUAACUAUCAGGAGGUUUUUCUGCCUUUCAAUAUUGCUUAUUGCUUUAAAGCACUUUAAAAUCCUGUUUUUGGCACCGCUCCGAGCUCUGUCCCAAUCAAGGGAAGUGACUCUUUCCCGGAUAUCCCCAUUUGAGUGCCCCAACUCUGACACAGGGUUGCGCAAGCCAGAAUGUUUCUUCAGUAUUAAAUGGUCUUUAAAAUUUUCUCCAUUUCCUCAGACCGGCAAGAACAUGACUAGUAAUGUACAUCGCGCUCCUGAUGCGCGGUCUGCUAAAAGCUGCAUCGUUCGUACGUUGCGAAUGUUUUAAUGACGCAGCCCCGUGGCCCCAAAUGUAUCGAAACGAAGUGGAUUUCGAAGGGAACGUGCAAUGAGGCGUGUCAGAUGAGUUAGAAACGCUACAGUAAAAAUGCUGUCUUUUCAAACGUAUUCUUUGUACAUAGUAAAAUGUAACCGUUUUUUUAUUUAUGAAUGUCUUUGUUUCUCAUAAGCAGGUCAGAAUUGUGCUGAAUUGCUGAGUUGUGUAUAGGACAACAUGGUCUGUUACAUAUUUUGUUCCAGGAAGCUAAAAAUCCAAGACUGAAGAAAAGAGCAGGAGGAGGAGAAGGAUGCAGAGAGAGACCACCCAUCCGGGGCGUCUGGAAAAAGGAUUGUAAUUUUCUUCCCAAAGCUGGACGACGGUCCGUGUUCAUGGACUGAAAACACCGCAGAGACUUCAGCAACAAUAGGGACAAUGAUCAGAGUCACACCCAGGCUCCACAGGGUGGGAGAACACAGCUUCACUGAUCUUCGACUAUGGCAAAAUAGAGACUGCACUAGCUUUUGAUACCCCAUAUGUUCAUGAAAGUUACGUGAACAAACCAAAAAUAGAGGUGUGGUACUGCAUUUUUGAGAUAAACGAUAUCUCCGUUAUCACAUUUCAGUUUUUCGUGUUUCUAACCGGCGCUACGAGACCGACAUGUUACUGAACACGUUCCAGCGUUUGCACUACUCUUCCUACACUGACCUUGUGACCCUUUAGUAAUACCCUAGCAGUCUUCAGUCUAGUCCUAAAGUCUUUGUGGUCUGUAAUGCACACGCUACAAUGAUUUGACUCACAGUCCUUCUGUCUUUUCUUGUCUCAAUGCAUCCUUUUCAGUUUUCAUUUUGUACUCCGCCUUAUAAUUGUCACUACCUCCAGGCGAGGGUUUGAACAAAGCAUUCCUAGGGAAGACCUACUUAGACUUAGUUGCUUUCUCACGCUCUCUUUUCUUUCCAUAUAACUCUUUUCACACACGGUUUACCAUCAUACGUCGCAUACAAACGUACGACAAGUCCACAACUACGCGACAGCUUGUGCUAGAACGAUUCAUUACCUCCGCACUGCAGACAUGCGUUUCAGCGCGUACCUUUUAAAAGGUGACGUCGUAUAGGGAGAUAGCUUUCCGCGAUCUGCGUCUGACCGCAUAGAACACACAGCAAUGGGUUGUGCCAUUUGCACGCAGUUGAUUGAUAUGUGGAGUAUGUCACGUAGCUCUCGAAGAGGCCAGCCGUCAAUGGACAUGUCUCAUUUGCCAGAGGUCACUCAGCAGGACUACCACAGACUCUCGGGCCUCCACUAUACGUCUUCUUUCUCUGACGCGGAGGACUGUUGCGAUGAAAUCACAAGCACAAGCUCGUCUUCAUCCUCGGACUAUAUCGGAAUAGACUGUUGACACAUGCUGUGGUUCCAGACUUUUGCGGGGCUACUCACAUCUCAUGCCAAAUAUUGCCAUUCUUUUUUUUUGGCUCCCUCAAAAUGUGACAGCGUGAAUGAAAUCUGCUUAGCUUGCCCAAAUUAAACUAAUGAGGUCUUUGUCUUGACUGUGUGGAAAGGGGUUGCGCUCUCAUCCACAAUGAUCCACAGUUCAGUUCCUGCUCAGUUUGAGCAACAAACCCAUUAUUGUCAUGGAAAGGAAUGCGUCUGUUAUAGCAUAGUUGAUACGGCUGCUGAAAUUCAUCUAGAAUCACCUUUUCUUUGAUCAUUCUGGAUAAAAGAACACUGGUUUGGAAAUUGGAAUGUGCAUUUUACAAAUAAAGCUUAAUGGUUUCUCCUGAGAGGAACAAAAACCUUUCAAAUGAA